CCUACGGGAGGCAGCAGUGGGGAAUAUUGCACAAUGGGGGAAACCCUGAUGCAGCGACGCCGCGUGAGUGAAGAAGUAUCUCGGUACGUAAAGCUCUAUCAGCAGGGAAGAUAAUGACGGUACCUGACCAAGAAGCCCCGGCUAACUACGUGCCAGAAGACGCGGGAAUACGUAGGGGGCAAGCGUGGUUCGGAAUGACUGGGCGUAAAGGGUGUGUAGGGGGUUUGAGAAGUGAGAUGUGUAAUACCCAGGGCGUAACUCGGGUGCUGCAUCUAAAACUGUUAGACUUGAGUACUGGAGAGGAUAGUGGAAUUCCUAGUGGAGCGGUGGAAUGCGUAGAUAUCUGGAGGAACAUCAGUGGCGAAGGCGACUAUCUGGCACAUAACUGACGCUGAGGAGCGAAAGCGUGGGUAGCAAACAGGAUUAGAUACCCGAGUAGUC
RNAcentral lists this ribosomal RNA (441 nucleotides) under uncultured bacterium. RNAcentral's name for it is "partial 16S ribosomal RNA". It matches the Rfam family "Bacterial small subunit ribosomal RNA", at positions 338 to 795 of the family's 1533-position model. The record is from RNAcentral.